GUGUCAGCAGCCGCGGUAAUACGGAGGGUGCAAGCGUUAUCCGGAAUCACUGGGUUUAAAGGGUGCGUAGGCUGUUAGAUAAGUCAGUUGUGAAAUUCCCCGGCUUAACCGGGUGGACUGCGAAUGAUACUGUUUAACUUGAAUGAGGUUGAGGUAGGCGGAAUGUGGCAUGUAGCGGUGAAAUGCUUAGAUAUGCCAUAGAACACCGAUUGCGAAGGCAGCUUGCUGGGCCUUCAUUGACGCUGAGGCACGAAAGCGUGGGGAGCAAACAGGAUUAGAAACCCUCGUAGUCC
This 293-nucleotide ribosomal RNA is filed under the name uncultured bacterium. RNAcentral describes it as "partial 16S ribosomal RNA". It matches the Rfam family "Bacterial small subunit ribosomal RNA", at positions 505 to 796 of the family's 1533-position model. The record is from RNAcentral.